Molecule: ribosomal RNA, 790 nt
Filed under: uncultured bacterium
Lineage: Bacteria
Description: bacterial SSU rRNA
Rfam family: Bacterial small subunit ribosomal RNA
Source: RNAcentral
AGAGUUUGAUCCUGGCUCAGAUUGAACGCUGGCGGCAUGCCUAACACAUGCAAGUCGAACGGUUUUGGAGCUUGCUCCAAGAUAGUGGCGGACGGGUGAGUAACGCGUAGGAAUCUACCUUGUAGAGGGGGACAACCCGGGGAAACUCGGGCUAAUACCGCAUAAUAAUCGAGAGAUGAAAGGGUGGGACCUUAGGGCCACUCGCUAUAAGAUGAGCCUGCGUUGGAUUAGCUAGUUGGUGGGGUAAAAGCCUACCAAGGCGACGAUCCAUAACUGGUCUGAGAGGAUGACCAGUCACACUGGGACUGAGACACGGCCCAGACUCCUACGGGAGGCAGCAGUGGGGAAUAUUGGACAAUGGGGGCAACCCUGAUCCAGCAAUGCCGCGUGUGUGAAGAAGGCCUGAGGGUUGUAAAGCACUUUUAGCGAUGAGGAAGAGGUGUUGUCGAAUAGGCAAGACCUUUGACGUUAGUCGCAGAAAAAGCACCGGCUAACUCUGUGCCAGCAGCCGCGGUAAUACAGAGGGUGCAAGCGUUAAUCGGAAUGACUGGGCGUAAAGGGUGCGUAGGUGGCGAUAUAAGUUAGUUGUGAAAUCCCCGGGCUUAACCUGGGAACUGCAAUUGAUACUGUAUGGCUAGAGUUUGGGAGAGGAUAGUGGAAUUUCCGGUGUAGCGGUGAAAUGCGUAGAUAUCGGAAGGAACACCAGUGGCGAAGGCAACUAUCUGGCCUAGAACUGACGCUGAGGAGCGAAAGCGUGGGGAGCGAACAGGAUUAGAUACCCUGGUAGUCC